RNAcentral lists this ribosomal RNA (918 nucleotides) under uncultured Bacillota bacterium. RNAcentral's name for it is "bacterial SSU rRNA". It matches the Rfam family "Bacterial small subunit ribosomal RNA", at positions 1 to 917 of the family's 1533-position model. The record is from RNAcentral. Lineage: Bacteria; Bacillati; Bacillota.
UGGAUCCAGACUUUGAUCAUGGCUCAGGACGAACGCUGGCGGCGUGCUUAACACAUGCAAGUCGAACGGAGCACCCUUGAAGGAGUUUUCGGACAACGGAUAGGAAUGCUUAGUGGCGGACUGGUGAGUAACGCGUGAGGAACCUGCCUUUCAGAGGGGGACAACAGUUGGAAACGACUGCUAAUACCGCAUGAUGCAUUGGGGUCGCAUGGCUCUGAUGCCAAAGAUUUAUCGCUGAAAGAUGGCCUCGCGUCUGAUUAGCUAGUUGGUGAGGUAACGGCCCACCAAGGCGACGAUCAGUAGCCGGACUGAGAGGUUGGCCGGCCACAUUGGGACUGAGAUACGGCCCAGACUCCUACGGGAGGCAGCAGUGGGGAAUAUUGGGCAAUGGGCGCAAGUCUGACCCAGCAACGCCGCGUGAAGGAAGAAGGCUUUCGGGUUGUAAACUUCUUUUAAGGGGGAAGAGCAGAAGACGGUACCCCUUGAAUAAGCCACGGCUAACUACGUGCCAGCAGCCGCGGUAAUACGUAGGUGGCAAGCGUCGUCCGGAUUUACUGGGUGUAAAGGGCGUGCAGCCGGGAAGACAAGUCAGAUGUGAAAUCCCGCGGCUCAACCGCGGAACUGCAUUUGAAACUGUUUUUCUUGAGUAUCGGAGAGGUCAUCGGAAUUCCUAGUGUAGCGGUGAAAUGCGUAGAUAUUAGGAAGAACACUAGUGGCGAAGGCGGAUGACUGGACGACAACUGACGGUGAGGCGCGAAAGCGUGGGGAGCAAACAGGAUUAGAUACCCUGGUAGUCCACGCUGUAAACGAUCAAUACUAGGUGUGCGGGGACUGACCCCCUGCGUGCCGGAGUUAACACAAUAAGUAUUGCACCUGGGGAGUACGAUCGCAAGGUUGCAACUCAAAUGAAUUGACGGA